This 597-nucleotide ribosomal RNA is filed under the name uncultured bacterium. RNAcentral's name for it is "bacterial SSU rRNA". It matches the Rfam family "Bacterial small subunit ribosomal RNA", at positions 28 to 635 of the family's 1533-position model. The record is from RNAcentral.
AAUGAACGUUGGCGGCGUGGAUUAGGCAUGCAAGUCGAGCGAGAAUCCCGGCUUGCCGGGAGGACAGCGGCGCAAGGGACAGUAAUGUGUAGAUUAUCUGCCCUCAGGUCCGGGAUAGCUGCGGGAAACUGCAGGUAAUACCGGAUAACAUCUCCGGAUCAAAGGUGUGAUUCCGCCUGAGGAUGAGUCUACAUCCUAUUAGCUUGUUGGCAGGGUAACGGCCUACCAAGGCUUUGAUGGGUAGCGGGUGUGAGAGCACGACCCGCGUCAUUGGGACUGAGACACUGCCCAGACACCUACGGGUGGCUGCAGUCGAGAAUCUUCGGCAAUGGGCGCAAGCCUGACCGAGCGACGCCGCGUGCGGGAUGAAGGCCUUCGGGUUGUAAACCGCUGUCAGAGGGGAUGAAAUGCAGGUGGGUUCUCCCAUCUGUUUGACAUAGCCUCAGAGGAAGGACGGGCUAAGUUCAUGCCAGCAGCCGCGGUAAGACGAACCGUCCAAACGUUAUUCGGAAUCACUGGGCUUAAAGGGUGCGUAGGCGGCGCGGAAAGUUGGGUGUGAAAUCCCUCGGCUCAACCGAGGAAUUGCGCCCAAUACUU